This 1249-nucleotide long non-coding RNA is filed under the name Apteryx haastii (Great spotted kiwi). Its description in RNAcentral is "lncRNA (ENSAHAG00000019289.1)". Lineage: Eukaryota; Metazoa; Chordata; Aves; Apterygiformes; Apterygidae. The record is from RNAcentral.
CUCUGUCCCAAAGUCCCAAACAGUCCUACAACCACUGCCAGAGCCAGUGCCCGCAGCAGUGAGGUGUUCUAAGAAAUGUGGGCGGUGAUGUGUGUCUGCCCCUGGACUCGGUGCCACUUUAGAGAAAAGGGGGGCGGGGGGGGGAGGAAACAGAACACAGUAAAGAGAAAAAGACCAUGCAUAAAUCUAAGUGUUUCACUGAAAGUAAAAUGCAAGUUCGUGUCUUUGUUACAGAGGUGGAACCAAUGAUAGCAAAUGCUGACAAAGAGAAAGCUGGACAAGCAGUUUUUUGGUGAUUAAUACCGAAGGGACGGGAUGAAAGAAGGAAGCAAGAAUGCAGUUUAGCGGACCCUCGAUAUCCCCAGAAGCUGCGACAGUAGGAGGUGUUCUGGCCUGGGUAACUAAGGUAACUCUCGAUCCUGAAUGUUAGUUAUUUCGGCCUCCCGGAGGCAGCGCUGAGGACUCAGUAACCCCGUUCCUACCCCGUGGAUAUUGUUCACUGUAUCUGCCUUAGUUUUGCUUUGGUCGUUUCUAUUUUGUUUUGUUAUCAUACGUCCAUCUAUAGAAAGGGAAAGAUACAAUAUUUAAUUUUUAGAUUAAUUGCCACGGCUGAAGUUGAAGAGACCAGAAAAAUGUAAGCAAGCUGAAGUAAUGAAAUCAAAUGGAAGCAACUGAGAGCUGUCUCCAUUGCCCAAAAAGGGAAAGCCCGUUCCUCCUGGCGAGGAAGGAUCACCAAUAAUAGCAAUUGGAAUAAUAGAUCACCAACAUAUAACGGAAGGUCUGUACGUAUUACAAAAAGUAUGCUACAUACAUAUAUUUCUGCGUGUGACUUCAUGCGUCUAUGAAGCAUCAUACUUUAAGAGCUACAAGACAGCAAACUAUUAUCCUAGGGGAAUGGUGGUCAAGUGGCCAGAGUUACUGAAGAGACAGAGACAGAAGUGUGCAAAUUGUAAAAUGAAGAGGUGGCUUUCAGGAAGGCUCAGUUAGUGCAACCCCAGGUUAAUUGCCUGGCAAUGGCAUUUGGGGCAACAGGAAGACAGCAGAUGGAAGAAAAGUGAAAGCCUUGCGGAAUGAAGGCUCCUUCUCGUCAGUUCCAACUCCGAGCAAUCUUAGGAGGAUUUAAUUUCCUCCAGCAGCGUUAACCUGGCUUUGCCGGUAUCGGCGCACCGUGAUGGAAAUGACCGGAAAGGAGUCAGGAACGGAACCGGAACGAGGAAGGUGACACUGCUUUCGCUAAACUGGAAGGAGC